This 448-nucleotide ribosomal RNA is filed under the name uncultured bacterium. RNAcentral's name for it is "SSU rRNA". It matches the Rfam family "Bacterial small subunit ribosomal RNA", at positions 26 to 518 of the family's 1533-position model. The record is from RNAcentral.
AGAACGAACGCUGGCGGCAGGCCUCAAACAUGCAAGUCUAGGGGACGUAGCAAUACGUCACCGGCGGACGGGUGCGUAACACGUGGGAAUGUACUUACUGGUUCGGAACAACUCAGGGGAAACUUGAGCUAAUACCGAAUGUGCCCGAAAGGGGAAAGAUUUAUCGCCAGUAAAUCAGCCCGCGUCCGAUUAGCUAGUUGGUGGGGUAAAGGCUCACCAAGGCGACGAUCGGUAGCUGUUCUGAGAGGAAGAUCAGCCACACUGGGACUGAGACACGGCCCAGACUCCUACGGGAGGCAGCAGUUGGGAAUCUUGGACAUGGGGGAAACCCUGAUCCAGCCAUGCCGCGUGAGUGAUGAAGGCCUUCGGGUUGUAAACUCUUUCGACGGGGACGAUAAUGACGGUACCCGUAGAAGAAGCUCCGGCUAACGUUCGUGCCAGCAGCCGC